UGGACAGAAAGACCCUAUGAAGCUUUACUGUAGCCUGGAAUUGGCUUCGGGCGGUGCUUGCGCAGGAUAGGUGGGAGGCUAUGAGAUACCCCUUGUGGGGGGUAAGGAGCCAACGGUGAGAUACCACUCUGGCACGGCUAGGAUUCUAACCCGUAACUGAAAAGCAGUACGGGAACAGUUUCAGGUGGGCAGUUUGACUGGGGCGGUCGCCUCCUAAAAGGUAACGGAGGCGCGCAAAGGUUCCCUCGGGCUGGUUGGAAACCAGCCGUAAGAGUGUAAAGGCAGAAGGGAGCUUGACUGCAAGACAGACAAGUCGAGCAGGGACGAAAGUCGGCCUUAGUGAUCCGACGGCACUGAGUGGCAGGGCCGUCGCUCAACGGAUAAAAGUUACUCUAGGGAUAACAGGCUG
This 409-nucleotide ribosomal RNA is filed under the name uncultured organism. RNAcentral describes it as "bacterial LSU rRNA". It matches the Rfam family "Bacterial large subunit ribosomal RNA", at positions 2077 to 2484 of the family's 2925-position model. The record is from RNAcentral.